AGCGAACGCUGGCGGCAGGCCUAACACAUGCAAGUCGAACGGCUCCUUCGUGAUUGGUUGCGGUCGGGUGAGGAACAUGUGGGAACGGGCCGUUUUGCUUGGGACUACUCAGGUACACGUGGGCUAAUGCCGGGUGAGUUCCGCUGGUGAAAGAUUUGACGUCCUUGUAGCGGCACGCGUGUUAUUAGCCGGGUGGUGAGGUAACGGCCCACGAAGGCGAGGAUCAGUAGCUGGGUUGAGAGGAUGAUCCGCCACACUGGGACUGAGACACGGCCCAGACUCCUACGGGAGGCAGCAGUGGGGGAUCUAGCGAAAUGGGGGAAAGGCUGAAGCAGCUAUGCCGCGUGAAUGAUGAAGGUCUUAGGAUUGUAAAAUUCUUUCAGCGGGGACGAUAAUGACGGUACCCGAAGAAGAAGCUCCGGCUAACUUCGUG
RNAcentral lists this ribosomal RNA (433 nucleotides) under uncultured bacterium. RNAcentral describes it as "partial 16S ribosomal RNA". It matches the Rfam family "Bacterial small subunit ribosomal RNA", at positions 29 to 507 of the family's 1533-position model. The record is from RNAcentral.